This 3320-nucleotide long non-coding RNA is filed under the name Brassica napus (rape). RNAcentral's name for it is "long non-coding RNA (BNAP_LNC019482)". The record is from RNAcentral. Lineage: Eukaryota; Viridiplantae; Streptophyta; Magnoliopsida; Brassicales; Brassicaceae.
GAUGAGGUCGUACGCCGCUAGUGAGGUUCAGUGCAAUGCACCAGACUCUCCUCAAGAUUUUAUUAGUAAGGAUACAAGAAAACUACUAGCAGAGAGAGUUCGCAAUGUUUUGAGUAAAGAGAUGAGUAGCAGUAGCCGUUUGAGACCUACUGUGUCCGACGCAGAGAGCUUACAGAAAUAUACUGAUGAAAUUGAAGAAGACACAAGAAGAAAUGUUCAUAAGAAGGAGCCUUCAUCACCAAGAAACCUCAAAAGAUCACUAUCAGCUCCCGUCUCAGGGACAUCGUUUGGUAAGCUUCUGUUGGAGGAUCGGCAUGUUUUGACUGGGGCGCAGAUCAUGAGGAAGCACGAGGCUGUAAUAACAGAGGGAGAAGAAACAGAACCAGUUGUUGUGGAUCCAAUUAGGAGGAAAGAAAGAUUCAACCUCAGGAAGAAAGUUUCCAGCUUUAGAUCAACUCUGAGAGGAAGAAUCUUUGGUAAGAAGAUACGUUCAAUGAUCGAAUCCAACAGUUUUGAGGAUGAAACGAUCAAAGACUUCGUGACGGGUUCGAGGUUUAACAGCUUUUACGAUCGAAAUGUAAGAACUUUUCUGUCACCAUUUCGAGGUGUCCUUAUGAUCUAAACUGAGACAAGUUUUGUGUUCUGUUUUUUCUUUUCUCUCAGGAGAAUUCAACAGAAGUGCCUCCAAGCCCUGCAUCAAUCUGCAGCAGUACACCAGAAGAGUUUUGGCGAAAUGUCGAUUAUCUCAGCCAGGUUUCGACUCCCGAUGUGACUGUAUCUGAUGAGAAUGGUAUGCCUCAAGUCUUCAGAGACAUCAGUUCCAAUCUAAGUGGUAAGACUCCUCUCUUUUUUUUCUUAAAUGUAGACGAUUUAAUAAAUAUUUCAAUAAUUGUUUUUUAAUACAAAUUUGGGUGUUAAUAUUUAAGUAAUUUUCUUCAAAAAUUUGGGGGCUAUAAACCAAUGUUUCAUUUGGCUUUAUCCGACCGGCCCUGCUCACACACUCUUGGAAGUGUUUCUUAUUCUCUGUUUCUGCUGAUUCACAGAACUAAGAAGGCAGAUAAAUGAGCUUGACUCAGAUAUACAAGUGCCGACCCCUGUGGAAGAAGAAACUGCUCGAGAGAUUGAGAUUACCGUUGACUUAGGAAAUCCAGAUAAGACAUUUGUUAGAGAUCUUCUUGUGGCUUCUGGUUUGUAUGAAGGGACAACAGAUAGAUCCUUGUCUAGAUGGGAUCCAUUUGCAAAGCCUAUAAACAAGUCUGUUCUUGAAGAAACUAAAGAGAAUCUCAAGAAGAGAAACAAUCAGAAUCAAGAAGGCGAAGAGGAUAUUGAAGAUAAUCACUCUCUCUCUCUCUCUCUCUCUCUGUCUGAAUACGACUUUCCCUCUGUUCCCCCAUUUCUUCUCUCUCAUCCUCUCACAUUCUCUCUAUUAUCGAGGCUUCAUUGAUUCACCAGAGACAAUCUCAUUGAAUAUAGUUUUUACCCCUCUCGAUCGAUUCAUUGCGUAAAGCUCGUCUCCUGUGUUCUAUUCUGUUCUGUUCCUGUUUCAGACUCUGUCUUUUUUCUUUUUCUAAUCCAGAAUUGGCUCUGUUCUUCUACUUUCUGUGUAAUAAAGUUUUAUCCUUUCUUCUCUUUUAAGACAAUCAAUAUUCCGAAGUUCACUCUCUUUUGUCGGAUUCCUUAUAUGAUUCAUCAGAUCGGAAGUAUUCACUUUCUCUACAUCUAUUAACUUUUCUUUCACCGGAGAGAUCCGAUCGCCGGAGAAUGGGAGGCUUAUUGCAUCUCUUCGAUUUCCACAACAACAGUUUCUCCCGGAGAGUUUUCUCUCAUCACAAAACCCGUGACGAAGGUGAAAUUUACAUAGGAAAAAAAUUCAAAUCUAGAUUUCUUGGUUCAUAUUUCGAAGAUUCGAUUAAUCAAAUCAUCUUUAUAUUUUAUUUUCUGGCAGAUCUGGAAGCUCCUAGGAAUAGUUUUGAGCUUCAAGUUGACAAUCUUCACACUUACCAUAACGACAAAGAUAAACCGGUAAUUUAAACCGAACUUCUCUUUUUUCUCUUCUUUUUAAUCACGGCAAAACCUUGUCAUAACAGGUUUUGACCAUCAUUUUUUUAAGAAAUCGAAUAUAUUAAUUACUAAAUGAGUUUUUUUUUUUUUUUUUUAAUAUUAAUUUAACAGCCGAGUUAUGGAUUUGAGGAAGAUGAAUGGUAUGAGAGAAGCUGUUACCCCAUCGAGGAAUCAAUGAAGAAGAAGAUCAUCGAAGAGCUCUCAAAACGUUCCAACGAUAAACAUAAUUCCCCAAGUCUUGUAGCUAAGCUGAUGGGAAUGGAAGCACUUCCUUUGGAGUCAACUAAAUCAACGGCUUGGAUCAAUCCUCGCCAGACUGCUAAAGUGGAUCACUCUCAUGAGAAAGGAGGAGGGAAAAGAAACAAAAAGGAGAGGAGAUUAGCCUCAUCGGCAGUGAAUGUAGUGGAGAGAAAUGAUAUUAUUAAUCCACCAGUGCGUAGAAAACAUCCUCAAGAAGAAGAGCUUCAAAGAUUCAGAAGAGAGUUCGAAGCAUGGCAAGCUGAUAAAAGGUCUAAAGAGUGUUCAAGAAUCAUCGAUUCCGGCUCCGUGGCGGCGGAGAAAGAGAGGCUCUUCACAAGAACUAGAAGCUUCGGUCGAGAUUUCAACUUGAAAUCAGACAGAACCGGUCCAACUAAGAUCGUGGUUUUAAGACCUGGUCUUCAGAGAGUGUACGAUUACGAAGACUCGUUAACUACUUCUUCAGGGACGACCAUGGAAGGAAGCAGCAUCGAAGAGUUUCUUGAGGAAGUGAAGGAGAGGCUAAAAGGUGAGCUUCAAGGAAGAGCUGCUCUCAAGAGAAGCUCAUCAGUGAGGGGAAGCGGCAUCGAGACACCUUUCAGCGAAAGACCUUUUCCGAGAUCCGAAUCGAUGAGGUCGUACGCCGCUAGUGAGGUUCAGUGCAAUGCACCAGACUCUCCUCAAGAUUUUAUUAGUAAGGAUACAAGAAAACUACUAGCAGAGAGAGUUCGCAAUGUUUUGAGUAAAGAGAUGAGUAGCAGUAGCCGUUUGAGACCUACUGUGUCCGACGCAGAGAGCUUACAGAAAUAUACUGAUGAAAUUGAAGAAGACACAAGAAGAAAUGUUCAUAAGAAGGAGCCUUCAUCACCAAGAAACCUCAAAAGAUCACUAUCAGCUCCCGUCUCAGGGACAUCGUUUGGUAAGCUUCUGUUGGAGGAUCGGCAUGUUUUGACUGGGGCGCAGAUCAUGAGGAAGCACGAGGCUGUAAUAACAGAGGGAGAAGAAACAGAACCAGUUGUUGU